This is a long non-coding RNA of Panthera uncia (snow leopard), 712 nucleotides long. RefSeq lists it as uncharacterized. Lineage: Eukaryota; Metazoa; Chordata; Mammalia; Carnivora; Felidae. The record is from RefSeq and is a predicted model, not a curated record. The transcript is spliced from 3 exons.
AGGCUCAUCUUAAGAGGGAGGUCUUGCCCCACCUCCCUAUCCUUGGAAGGUAUUUCAAUGAGGAUGCAUUUGACUUCAUGUAGGAGGAAAUCCAACCAACACUGGUUAAACCAUAUGAAAUGUAUUACUGACUUUAGGAGUACAGAGGAUGGGUGGUCCCAGGUUCAUUAAGUGGUCCAACAACAUCAGGAUUCCAGGUGCUGUGGAUCAUGUUUAUACAUGUCAUCUCUGGACUUGUGCCUUUGUACAAGAUGCUGGAGGGAUCAGCACAGUGGGCAUUCCACGUGAUUUUCCACAUUGGCAGCAUCUGGUGAUUGGAGGGGCCAACUACUUCCACCACUUGCAUUCUCUUUUUAUUUUUGUCUCAGAGGGACUACACAACCAUAGUGUUCUCAGUACCUAAGGCAGACAUUUCCUGAAACUAGCAGAGAAUGUGAAUAAAUACAAAAUGUUGAGGUUUUGCCUACAAUGAUCCUGUAGGUAUCUCUAUGGCCUAAAAUGUGAAUUUACUUUGCACAUGCAUUUGAAUUUACUAAUGACAAUAUUUAACUCUUGGAAUAAUAGUUUUGUGUUGUAUUCUGUGUAGAGGGUAUAGAUACUCAUUAUCUCAGUUAAUUAGAAUAAUGCUAUGUAGUUUAACACAGCAGAAGUUUAUUUCCCAGUCAUAAUUCCUAUCUGGGAUAGGGUCCGUUGGAGUUUGGCCCCCUAAGGC